Non-coding RNA from Paramuricea clavata, 72 nucleotides. NCBI's taxonomy places the organism in Eukaryota, Metazoa, Cnidaria, Anthozoa, Malacalcyonacea, Plexauridae. The record is from the annotation of a GenBank genome assembly.
UAUUUAAUACGUGCGGAAAUUGUUACCAUUUUUCGGCUCAAAAAUGAUAACAAUUUCCGCACGUAAUACAAA